Molecule: long non-coding RNA, 245 nt
Organism: Cebus imitator (Panamanian white-faced capuchin)
Lineage: Eukaryota; Metazoa; Chordata; Mammalia; Primates; Cebidae
Exons: 3
Source: RefSeq, a predicted model, not a curated record
CCUGCCACCUCGAGAAGACGCGCCUGCUUUCGCUUCUGCUAUGAUUACAUAAAUUUUCUGAGGCCUCCCCAGCCACACAGAACUAAAGUGCUCCUGCGAGAUUCUGCUCCUUCCCAUGCAGAGCAGAAGUGUCUUGAGGAUGGAGCAGAGAAAUGGCCCUGACCACAAAUACAGCAAGAUGCAUUCUACCAAGUUUCCUAAAGUAAGGUGAGAUGAUGAACAUUCCUACUUUGUACCAGGCCCUG